Long non-coding RNA from Equus quagga, 727 nucleotides. RefSeq lists it as uncharacterized. The transcript has 3 exons. Lineage: Eukaryota; Metazoa; Chordata; Mammalia; Perissodactyla; Equidae. The record is from RefSeq and is a predicted model, not a curated record.
UGUUUUGUUGGUAUAAAACAAGGACCCCUUGGAUUUCAUGCAGCACCAUCCCGAUGCCUUUAUGUAAUCGUCAUUCAGACUCUGCAUGUUUGGCAUUGCCUGUAAGGAGGCUGCCGGAACCAUGGUAACCCCUUGCAACUCAGCAAACAAUGAAAAGUAGACGGAUCAUUCUUUCCAGCGGCAUGUUGUGAGACCCCUAAAGCUGGACAGUUCCUGCCUGUGAACUCAGACUCUGACGAAACAGAACUCCUAGCAGUUGCUUUGAAUCCCUCUGGACUCCGCCUCAUUCCUCAGCUCUUUGUGUCACACACUGGUCAGGGGAGGCGGAUUUGAAAGUCGUGCAACACACUGUUGUGCCAAAGCUGUCAACUGAGGACUCUAACGUUGACGUUCCUCUUUCCCCGAUACGUGGAGCAAUAGCGUGCCCUCCGUCCUGUGGAAGCAAUUGUAGUCCGUAUUGGUGAGUCGUUUCCACAGAUGGCUCUGUGGCAAUCAACAGUGUCUCAACUCUGAGUUUAACCAUUGGAUCAAGAAAAUUUUUUAAAACGUAAGGAGUUUUGUUCUGAGGUCCACUAACAUCCCCAUAACAUGUGGACAAAAACACUUGGUCAAAAACACUUCCUGUCGCUUACCUGCAAUAGGAGUGCAGACGGCUGUCUUUGAUCACGUGGGGCAGCGAUGGUAUCCCUGCUGGGAGUACUUUCUUCAUAAACUAAAGGAAGGAAGC